Molecule: long non-coding RNA, 387 nt
Organism: Siniperca chuatsi (mandarin fish)
Lineage: Eukaryota; Metazoa; Chordata; Actinopteri; Centrarchiformes; Sinipercidae
Exons: 3
Source: RefSeq, a predicted model, not a curated record
CCACAUACACCGCCACCAGUGUCUUCCAUUAUAGAACAGAGGAAAGGAGUGAGAGAGUAAGCAACCAGCUGCAGUGAAGCGUGUCGUAUAAAACUUGGAUUAAUGACAAGAGAACUAUAGAGUUGUGAAGUAAAAUUUUGGUAUCAGGGAUCAAAACACUACAACACCCAUGAGCCUCAGCUGCCAUUGUUACGGAGAAGAAGCCAGUCAGAGGUAUGAACAUCAGUGCGCCAUAGUUGCUGAAUUCAUCCAAAAUAAUCCCAGAAUGUGCUUUCCACCAGAUGUUGAACCUGCUGCAGCGAUUUGCUCCCAUUCAGCCACAUGAGCAUUAGUGAUGCCAGCCACUGAUGUCGGGCGAUAAGGCGUGGAUUGCAGUCGGUGUUCCAG